UACGUAGGGGGCAAGCGUUGUCCGGAUUUAUUGGGCGUAAAGAGCGUGUAGGCGGCUUGACAGGUCUGCUGUGAAAACUCGAGGCUCAACCUCGAGAUGUCGGCGGAAACCGUCUGGCUAGAGUCCGGAAGAGGAGAGUGGAAUUCCUGGUGUAGCGGUGAAAUGCGCAGAUAUCAGGAAGAAAACCUAUGGCGAAGGCAGCUCUCUGGGACGGUACUGACGCUGAGACGCGAAAGCGUGGGGAGCGAACAGG
This 253-nucleotide ribosomal RNA is filed under the name uncultured bacterium. RNAcentral's name for it is "partial 16S ribosomal RNA". It matches the Rfam family "Bacterial small subunit ribosomal RNA", at positions 524 to 776 of the family's 1533-position model. The record is from RNAcentral.